Molecule: ribosomal RNA, 846 nt
Filed under: uncultured Gammaproteobacteria bacterium
Lineage: Bacteria; Pseudomonadati; Pseudomonadota; Gammaproteobacteria
Description: bacterial SSU rRNA
Rfam family: Bacterial small subunit ribosomal RNA
Source: RNAcentral
GCUGGCGGCAGCCCUUAUACAUGCAAGUCGAACGAGAAAGUUCCUUCGGGAGCGAGUAAAGUGGCGGACGGGUGAGUAACGCGUAGGAAUCUACCUUUCAGUGGGGGAUAGCUCGGGGAAACUCGAAUUAAUACCGCAUACACCCUUCGGGGGAAAGGGGGCCUCUCCUUGGAAGCUCUCGCUGUUAGAUGAGCCUGCGUGAGAUUAGCUUGUUGGUAAGGUAAUGGCUUACCAAGGCUACGAUCUCUAGCUGGUCUGAGAGGACGAUCAGCCACACUGGGACUGAGACACGGCCCAGACUCCUACGGGAGGCAGCAGUAGGGAAUAUUGGACAAUGGGGGCAACCCUGAUCCAGGCAUGCCGCGUGUGUGAAGAAGGCCUUAGGGUUGUAAAGCACUUUAAGUGAGGAAGAAAAGAUUUAAAUUAAUACUUUAAGUCCCUGACAUUACUCACAGAAUAAGGACCGGCUAACUCCGUGCCAGCAGCCGCGGUAAUACGGAGGGUCCAAGCGUUAAUCGGAAUUACUGGGCGUAAAGCGCGCGUAGAUGGUUUAUUCAGUUGGGUGUGAAAUCCCUGGGCUCAACCUAGGAACUGCAUUCAAAACUUAUAAACUAGAGUACGAAAGAGGAGAGUAGAAUUCAUGGUGUAGCGGUGAAAUGCGUAGAGAUCAUGAGGAAUACCAGUGGCGAAGGCGACUCUCUGGUUCGAGACUGACAUUGAGGUGCGAAAGCGUGGGUAGCAAACAGGAUUAGAUACCCUGGUAGUCCACGCCGUAAACGAUGAGAACUAGCCGUUGGAUCUUUAGAUUCAGUGGCGCAGCUAACGCAUUAAGUUCUCCGCCUGGGG